GACGAACGCUGGCGGCGUGCUUAACACAUGCAAGUCGAACGGAAAGGCCCUGCUUUUGUGGGGUGCUCGAGUGGCGAACGGAUGAGUAACACGUGAGUAACCUGCCCUUGACUUUGGGAUAACUUCAGGAAACUGGGGCUAAUACCGGAUAGGAGCUCCUGCUGCAUGGUGGGGGUUGGAAAGUUUCGGCGGUUGGGGAUGGACUCGCGGCUUAUCAGCUUGUUGGUGGGGUAGUGGCUUACCAAGGCUUUGACGGGUAGCCGGCCUGAGAGGGUGACCGGCCACAUUGGGACUGAGAUACGGCCCAGACUCCUACGGGAGGCAGCAGUGGGGAAUAUUGCACAAUGGGCGGAAGCCUGAUGCAGCAACGCCGCGUGCGGGAUGACGGCCUUCGGGCUGUAAACCGCUUUCGCCUGUGACGAAGCGUGAGUGACGGUAAUGGGUAAAGAAGCACCGGCUAACUACGUG
This 468-nucleotide ribosomal RNA is filed under the name uncultured bacterium. Its description in RNAcentral is "partial 16S ribosomal RNA". It matches the Rfam family "Bacterial small subunit ribosomal RNA", at positions 28 to 507 of the family's 1533-position model. The record is from RNAcentral.